Non-coding RNA from Planctomycetes bacterium RBG_13_60_9, 72 nucleotides. The record is from Rfam. NCBI's taxonomy places the organism in Bacteria, Pseudomonadati, Planctomycetota.
GCGGCUGUACCUCAAUGGUAGCGCGCCACCGUCCCAAGGUGGACGUUGUGGGUUCGAAUCCCAUCGGCCGCU